UACGAAGGGUGCAAGCGUUAAUCGGAAUUACUGGGCGUAAAGGGUGCGUAGGCGGUUUGUUAAGUCUGUUGUGAAAUCCCCGGGCUCAACCUGGGAAUGGCAAUGGAUACUGGCAAGCUAGAGUGUGUCAGAGGAUGGUGGAAUUUCCGGUGUAGCGGUGAAAUGCGUAGAGAUCGGGAGGAACAUCUGUGGCGAAGGCGACUACCUGGACCAGCACUGACACUGAGGCACGAAAGCGUGGGGAGCAAACAGG
RNAcentral lists this ribosomal RNA (253 nucleotides) under uncultured bacterium. RNAcentral's name for it is "partial 16S ribosomal RNA". It matches the Rfam family "Bacterial small subunit ribosomal RNA", at positions 524 to 776 of the family's 1533-position model. The record is from RNAcentral.